RNAcentral lists this ribosomal RNA (253 nucleotides) under uncultured bacterium. RNAcentral's name for it is "partial 16S ribosomal RNA". It matches the Rfam family "Bacterial small subunit ribosomal RNA", at positions 524 to 776 of the family's 1533-position model. The record is from RNAcentral.
UACGAAGGGGGCUAGCGUUGCUCGGAAUCAUUGGGCGUAAAGGGUGCGUAGGCGGUUUGGCAAGUCUUGUGUGAAAUCUUCGGGCUCAACCCGAAGCCUGCAUAAGAAACUGCCGGGCUUGAGUAUGGGAGAGGUGAGUGGAAUUUCCGGUGUAGCGGUGAAAUGCGUAGAUAUCGGAAGGAACACCUGUGGCGAAAGCGGCUCACUGGACCAUAACUGACGCUGAGGCACGAAAGCUAGGGGAGCAAACAGG